This 251-nucleotide long non-coding RNA is filed under the name Elaeis guineensis (African oil palm). RNAcentral's name for it is "long non-coding RNA (EGUI_LNC009490)". The record is from RNAcentral. Lineage: Eukaryota; Viridiplantae; Streptophyta; Magnoliopsida; Arecales; Arecaceae.
GAAAAAUUCAUUCGAAGCCCCGAUCUGAUCGAUCUUCUUGAGAGUGCUAGCUCAUGCGAAGACCUUCUUCUUAACUGAUCUGGAUCUUUUCUUCAAAUCUCUAAAAUCUUUCUAGAGAUUGAAGAUGGACUUCUGGAGAAGAUGAAGAGGUGAAAGAAAGAUGGAGAGAAAAAUAAUUUUUUUCUUAUUUUUUUUCACUUUUCAAACCCUAAGGACCAAAACCCUAUAAACCUAAUUUUUGCAUACACCCC